AGAAAGGUAGUUUAUUCCAAGAACGUCGGUUUCAUAAUCCGAAAGUAGCAACGGCUUCUUUCUG
This 64-nucleotide transfer RNA is filed under the name Ostrea lurida. Its description in RNAcentral is "tRNA-Met". Lineage: Eukaryota; Metazoa; Mollusca; Bivalvia; Ostreida; Ostreidae. The record is from RNAcentral.